CACGUAGGGCGCAAGCGUUGUCCGGAAUUAUUGGGCGUAAAGAGCUCGUAGGUGGUUUGUUACGUCUGCUGUGAAAACCUAGGGCUUAACCCUGGGCUUGCAGUGGAUACGGGCAGACUAGAGGUAGGUAGGGGAGAAUGGAAUUCCUGGUGUAGCGGUGAAAUGCGCAGAUAUCAGGAGGAACACCGGUGGCGAAGGCGGCUCACUGGACCGGUACUGACGCUGAUGCGCGAAAGCGUGGGGAGCAAACGGG
RNAcentral lists this ribosomal RNA (253 nucleotides) under uncultured bacterium. RNAcentral's name for it is "partial 16S ribosomal RNA". It matches the Rfam family "Bacterial small subunit ribosomal RNA", at positions 524 to 776 of the family's 1533-position model. The record is from RNAcentral.